UACGUAGAAGGCGAACGUUAUCCGGAUUUACUGGGCGUAAAGAGGGUGUAGACUGUUCUUUAAGUCAGUUGUGAAAUCUCCCGACUCAAUUGGGAGACUGCAGUUGAUACUGGGGAGCUUGAGGGCAUCAGAAGAAAGCGGAAUUCACGGUGUAGCGGUGAAAUGCGUAGAUAUCGUGAGGAACACCAGUGGCGAAGGCGGCUUUCUAGGAUGCUCCUGACGUUGAGGCCCGAAAGUGUGGGGAG
RNAcentral lists this ribosomal RNA (245 nucleotides) under uncultured bacterium. RNAcentral describes it as "partial 16S ribosomal RNA". It matches the Rfam family "Bacterial small subunit ribosomal RNA", at positions 524 to 768 of the family's 1533-position model. The record is from RNAcentral.